RNAcentral lists this transfer RNA (74 nucleotides) under Pyrinomonadaceae bacterium. RNAcentral's name for it is "tRNA-Pro". It matches the Rfam family "tRNA". Rfam says of the family: Transfer RNA (tRNA) molecules are approximately 80 nucleotides in length. Their secondary structure includes four short double-helical elements and three loops (D, anti-codon, and T loops). Further hydrogen bonds mediate the characteristic L-shaped molecular structure. tRNAs have two regions of fundamental functional importance: the anti-codon, which is responsible for specific mRNA codon recognition, and the 3' end, to which the tRNAs corresponding amino acid is attached (by aminoacyl-tRNA synthetases). tRNAs cope with the degeneracy of the genetic code in two manners: having more than one tRNA (with a specific anti-codon) for a particular amino acid; and 'wobble' base-pairing, i.e. permitting non-standard base-pairing at the 3rd anti-codon position. The record is from RNAcentral. Lineage: Bacteria; Pseudomonadati; Acidobacteriota; Blastocatellia; Blastocatellales; Pyrinomonadaceae.
CGGGGCGUGGCUCAGCCUGGUAGAGCGCUCGGUUCGGGGCCGAGAGGCCGGUGGUUCGAAUCCACUCGCCCCGA